UACGGAGGGGGCUAGCGUUGUUCGGAAUUACUGGGUGUAAAGCGCGUGUAGGCGGACCUGUAAGUCGGGUGUGAAAGCCCGUGGCUUAACCUCGGAACUGCAUUCGAUACUGCGGGUCUCGAGUCCUGGAGAGGUGAGUGGAAUUCCUAGUGUAGCGGUGAAAUUCGUAGAUAUUAGGAAGAACACCAGUGGCGAAGGCGGCUCACUGGCCCGGUACUGACGCUGAGGCGCGAAAGCGUGGGGAGCAAACAGG
Molecule: ribosomal RNA, 253 nt
Filed under: uncultured bacterium
Lineage: Bacteria
Description: partial 16S ribosomal RNA
Rfam family: Bacterial small subunit ribosomal RNA
Source: RNAcentral